GAUGAACGCUGGCGGCGUGCCUAAUACAUGCAAGUCGAGCGAACGGACGAGAAGCUUGCUUCUCUGAUGUUAGCGGCGGACGGGUGAGUAACACGUGGAUAACCUACCUAUAAGACUGGGAUAACUUCGGGAAACCGGAGCUAAUACCGGAUAAUAUUUUGAACCGCAUGGUUCAAAAGUGAAAGACGGUCUUGCUGUCACUUAUAGAUGGAUCCGCGCUGCAUUAGCUAGUUGGUAAGGUAACGGCUUACCAAGGCAACGAUGCAUAGCCGACCUGAGGGGGUGAUCGGCCACACUGGAACUGAGACACGGUCCAGACUCCUACGGGAGGCAGCAGUAGGGAAUCUUCCGCAAUGGGCGAAAGCCUGACGGAGCAACGCCGCGUGAGUGAUGAAGGUCUUCGGAUCGUAAAACUCUGUUAUUAGGGAAGAACAUAUGUGUAAGUAACUGUGCACAUCUUGACGGUACCUAAUCAGAAAGCCACGGCUAACUACGUG
Molecule: ribosomal RNA, 497 nt
Filed under: uncultured bacterium
Lineage: Bacteria
Description: partial 16S ribosomal RNA
Rfam family: Bacterial small subunit ribosomal RNA
Source: RNAcentral